CCUACGGGGGGCUGCAGUGGGGUAUAUUGGACAAUGGGGGGAACCCUGAUCCAGCCAUGCCGCGUGUGUGAAGAAGGCCCUCGGGUUGUAAAGCACUUUCAGGGAGGAAGAACGCCUGGUGGUUAAUACCCAUCAGGAAAGACAUCACUCACAGAAGAAGCACCGGCUAACUCCGUGCCAGCAGCCGCGGUAAUACGGAGGGUGCGAGCGUUAAUCGGAAUUACUGGGCGUAAAGCGCGCGUAGGUGGCUUGAUAAGCCGGUUGUGAAAGCCCCGGGCUCAACCUGGGAACGGCAUCCGGAACUGUCAAGCUAGAGUGCAGGAGAGGAAGGUAGAAUUCCCGGUGUAGCGGUGAAAUGCGUAGAGAUCGGGAGGAAUACCAGUGGCGAAGGCGGCCUUCUGGACUGACACUGACACUGAGGUGCGAAAGCGUGGGGAGCAAACAGGAUUAGAUACCCCAGUAGUC
RNAcentral lists this ribosomal RNA (465 nucleotides) under Vreelandella stevensii. RNAcentral's name for it is "partial 16S ribosomal RNA". It matches the Rfam family "Bacterial small subunit ribosomal RNA", at positions 338 to 795 of the family's 1533-position model. Lineage: Bacteria; Pseudomonadati; Pseudomonadota; Gammaproteobacteria; Oceanospirillales; Halomonadaceae. The record is from RNAcentral.